RNAcentral lists this unclassified non-coding RNA (271 nucleotides) under Ascomycota sp. RNAcentral describes it as "partial contains small subunit ribosomal RNA, internal transcribed spacer 1, and 5.8S ribosomal RNA". The stretch from base 1 to 47 matches the Rfam family "Eukaryotic small subunit ribosomal RNA", at positions 1785 to 1831 of the family's 1831-position model. The record is from RNAcentral. Lineage: Eukaryota; Fungi; Ascomycota.
AAAGUCGUAACAAGGUUUCCGUAGGUGAACCUGCGGAAGGAUCAUUAAAGAGAAAGGGGCUUAAAAACCCCGACCUCCAACCCUCUGUUGUUAAAACUACUUUGUUGCUUUGGCGGGACCGUUCGGUCUUUUCCGAACCCUUCAGGAUCCCUCACGGGUUCCCGGGGGAGCUCCCGCCAGAGUUAAACCAAACUCUUGUUAUAUAAACCGGUCGUCUGAGUAAAAUUUUUGAAUUAAAUCAAAACUUUCAACAACGGAUCUCUUGGUUCUC